AUAUCAAUAAGCGGAGGAAAAGAAACUAACAAGGAUUCCCCUAGUAACGGCGAGUGAAGCGGGAAGAGCUCAAAUUUGAAAUCUGGCAGUCUUCGAUUGUCCGAGUUGUAAUCUAUAGAGGCGUUUUCCGUGCCGGACCGUGUCCAAGUCUCCUGGAAAGGAGUAUCAAAGAGGGUGAUAAUCCCGUACUUAACACGACCACCGGUGCUCUGUGAUACGUCUUCUACGAGUCGAGUUGUUUGGGAAUGCAGCUCAAAAUGGGUGGUGAAUUCCAUCUAAAGCUAAAUAUUGGCGAGAGACCGAUAGCGAACAAGUACCGUGAGGGAAAGAUGAAAAGCACUUUGGAAAGAGAGUUAAACAGUACGUGAAAUUGUUGAAAGGGAAACGAUUGAAGUCAGUCGUGUUCUUUGGAUUCAGCCAGUUCUGCUGGUCUACUUCCUUUGAACGGGUCAACAUCAGUUUUGUCCGGUGGAUAAAGGUAGUAGGAAUGUGACUUCUCCGGAAGUGUUAUAGCCUAUUAUCACAUACACUGGGUGAGACUGAGGACUGCAGCUCGCCUUUAUGGCCGACCUUCGGGUACGUUCGAGCUUAGGAUGUUGACAUAAUGGCUUUAAACGAC
This 619-nucleotide ribosomal RNA is filed under the name Trichosporon insectorum. RNAcentral describes it as "eukaryotic LSU rRNA". It matches the Rfam family "Eukaryotic large subunit ribosomal RNA", at positions 40 to 648 of the family's 3401-position model. Lineage: Eukaryota; Fungi; Basidiomycota; Tremellomycetes; Trichosporonales; Trichosporonaceae. The record is from RNAcentral.